Molecule: ribosomal RNA, 259 nt
Filed under: uncultured archaeon
Lineage: Archaea
Description: partial 16S ribosomal RNA
Rfam family: Archaeal small subunit ribosomal RNA
Source: RNAcentral
AGGGUGUAAACGCUGCAGACUUGGUGUUGGAAAUCCUUCGAGGGUAUUCAGUGCCGGAGAGAAGUUGUUAAGUCUGCUACUUGGGGAGUACGUCCGCAAGGAUGAAACUUAAGGAUUGGCGGGGGAGCACCGCAACGGGAGGAGCGUGCGGUUUAAUUGGAUUCAACACCGGAAAACUCACCAGGGGAGACUGUUACAUGAAACCCAGACUAAUGAUCUUGGUUGAUUUUCAGAGAGGUGGUGCAUGGCGUCAGUGACU